CCCCACUCCUAGCCUUUUGCUUGUCCUCAAGCAAAUAAACUUAGUCAAAUAAGCUCUCUUUGCUACUUGAUCCUUUAUUUCCACUUAAGCUCUUACUCUAGAUCCCUACUUUGAAGUAUUGCAGUGAAGAAUGUAUGCACCAAGGUUACUCACCUUCUUUCCUUGCCUCCCUUUACCUUCCAUGGCUAGUAUUUGUUUUCUUCAAGAGAGAGAUUAUAUAUGCACAUAUUCUUGUUCAGUUAAAACUUUUCCUAGCUUUCGGAGUGACUUGCCCUUACUUGAAGCACAUUAUUCAGCCUUUUGCACUUUAAUCUUGCUUGAAAAGUCACUAACCUUUUGACGUGAAGGUACAUAUUUGUGAUACCCACCCCCAGUUACUCAGUUGGUCACCUGUCCAAGUGGCUACUAGCUCUAUUCAUAAUCUUUUGACCAUUGGAACAGUUUUUCAUUUGUGCUUUUGAAGUCCUUGUCUUUGCUGAAUUUCUUUCUCAAUGAAUUGGGCAAAUCAACACCAAUUGCUAAAAUAAGCCAUGUUCAGUUAUUCACACAUCUUUCAAUUUAUUCUCUCUAAUGAGUAAUAUAUAUUUUUCACCAUGGAAAGCCCAUGGAAAACUCAAAGAUUCAAUUCAAAAGGAAAUUUCCAACAAUGAAUACAACUCACUACAAUUGAUUCAACUUAGAUUUAAAGAGUCACCACAUCAAUGGGGUCAUGGAAAGAAAGCUCAUCCAACAUAGCCUAUGUGUUUGAGUAAAGCAUAUCAAAAUAGAAAAAAGAAAAAAUUGUGGCUACAUGUGUGUGCAUUGAAAGCAAAAAUAACAAAAAUGAAAAAUGUGUGCAAACUAAAAAAAAUCAAAGCUAAAAUGGACUUAAAAUAAAAAUUCAGAGAUAUAUGCACCCCCACACCUAAUUCAUGUAUUAUCCUCAAUGUAUUGGAAAUAUUAAAGUUCAAAGAAAACUGAGUACUCCCCUGUUGUGGUUGUGAGGUGCGAUUCACUCGGCAAGUUGCCUCCGCUGGGUUGCCUCCCAGUAGCGCCUUGGUUUAAGGUCACGAGCUAGACCUUCUCCACUUGAUCAAGGCUCAAGUAAUUGGGGGAGGAAAAAGGGUCCCAACUGAAUUAAGUAAAAAGUGUAGCACGCCUUUUAUUUUGGUCAUAACCCAUCCUAUUUCUUUCAUAUACUCAUGAAGUAACAUAAUUAGCUUCUCCUCUUUCAGGUGAGGUGUGCCUCUAGCCCUUAUGUUUGCAUUUUUGAGAUGAUUGGGUAGCACUUCGAACUCCAAUUCAUAUUUCUCCAUAGGUGGCUGCAAUUUGGUACUGAAUUCGAGCAAAACAAAUUCUACCUUAUCCGGUGGUUUGAGCAGGCAGUGUUCCGCAUGCUCCUUUGGUUUGGGCGAUCUGGAUUCUGCUUGCUCCUUUUGUGCAUGGCCUGUCUGCAAAAUGAGCUGAAGAGGUGCGGGUGGACCUUUGUCUUUCUGCGUUUGGUCGCAGUCCAUCUGCUGAAUGCAACAGACUUUUGCUUUCAGUUUUGGCUCUUUUUGGCUCCCUUCAUCUUUUUGGCUAGCUUCUCUGCAAAAAUCAUUGUUUAGCAUAUCAUCUUGAUUCAUAUCACAAACUUCUUGGCUCAAACAAUCAAUGAUAUCUAAACCAUAAACUAGUUCUGUUUGACCAGUUUGUUUGGACAAAUAGUUUUCUGGCUGUUUUUCUUCAGCAGCUUGUCCUUGUACUUGCAAACUUCCAUCAUCAGCCUUGACAUCUUCAAGCUUUUUCUCA
This 1770-nucleotide long non-coding RNA is filed under the name Manihot esculenta (cassava). RNAcentral's name for it is "long non-coding RNA (MESC_LNC002265)". Lineage: Eukaryota; Viridiplantae; Streptophyta; Magnoliopsida; Malpighiales; Euphorbiaceae. The record is from RNAcentral.